Molecule: long non-coding RNA, 312 nt
Organism: Hippocampus zosterae (dwarf seahorse)
Lineage: Eukaryota; Metazoa; Chordata; Actinopteri; Syngnathiformes; Syngnathidae
Exons: 3
Source: RefSeq, a predicted model, not a curated record
CGAUAAAACCAGGGUCGGAGACAUACCAAGAGUCCAUCGGGCGAGUCGGGCGUGAGAGUCAUCCCCAGGAUGUUGGCGCUCACCUAAAUUCAACUUGCUGCAGUUGGGGUGGCUCCCCUCUCCCACGCCACAUUUGUACACGUCUCCUUUCCUGUUGUUGUGCCGCCCGUCCCAAGGAGCGCCCACCAGCAUUCUGCAUGGCCACAAUACGAAAUCACGGAGAAGCCGAAAAGGGCGUCGUCCGGACCGCUGAAGAUCCGCGGAUGCGUCACGUCAAUGUUGAAGCACUGACACAAGCCUGGAGAAUUGAGC